This 253-nucleotide ribosomal RNA is filed under the name uncultured bacterium. Its description in RNAcentral is "partial 16S ribosomal RNA". It matches the Rfam family "Bacterial small subunit ribosomal RNA", at positions 524 to 776 of the family's 1533-position model. The record is from RNAcentral.
UACGGAGGGGGCGAGCGUUAUUCGGAAUUAUUGGGCGUAAAGGGCGCGUAGGCGGCUUGGUAAGUCAAAGGUGAAAUCCCUCGGCUCAACCGAGGAAUUGCCUUUGAAACUGCCUGGCUUGAGGCCGGGAGGGGGUAGCGGAAUUCCCAGUGUAGCGGUGAAAUGCGUAGAUACUGGGAGGAACACCGGUGGCGAAGGCGGCUACCUGGACCGGUUCUGACGCUGAUGCGCGAAAGCGUGGGGAGCAAACAGG